GAUCAUGGCUCAGGAUGAACGCUAGCGGCAGGCUUAACACAUGCAAGUCGAGGGGCAGCAUGUCCGAACUUUCGGGUUUGGAUGAUGGCGACCGGCGCAAGGGUGCGUAACGCGUGAGCAACUUGCCCGUUUCAGGGGGAUAACCGUUGGAAACGACGACUAAUACCCCAUGGUAUCAUUGAGAGGCAUCUUUAUCUGAUUAAAGAAUUUCGGAAACGGAUAGGCUCGCGUGACAUUAGCUAGACGGCGGGGUAACGGCCCACCGUGGCGACGAUGUCUAGGGGUUCUGAGAGGAAGGUCCCCCACACUGGAACUGAGACACGGUCCAGACUCCUACGGGAGGCAGCAGUGAGGAAUAUUGGUCAAUGGUCGAGAGACUGAACCAGCCAAGUAGCGUGCAGGAUGACGGCCCUCUGGGUUGUAAACUGCUUUUAGUUGGGAAUAAAAGGGAGUACGUGUACUCUGUAUUGUAUGUACCAUCAGAAAAAGGACCGGCUAAUUCCGUG
RNAcentral lists this ribosomal RNA (506 nucleotides) under uncultured bacterium. RNAcentral's name for it is "bacterial SSU rRNA". It matches the Rfam family "Bacterial small subunit ribosomal RNA", at positions 15 to 507 of the family's 1533-position model. The record is from RNAcentral.